CGCGUAGGCGGCUUUAUAAGUCGGGGGUGAAAGCCUGUGGCUCAACCACAGAAUUGCCUUCGAUACUGUAGAGCUUGAGACCGGAAGAGGUAAGUGGAACUGCGAGUGUAGAGGUGAAAUUCGUAGAUAUUCGCAAGAACACCAGUGGCGAAGGCGGCUUACUGGUCCGGUUCUGACGCUGAGGCGCGAAAGCGUGGGAGCAAGACA
Molecule: ribosomal RNA, 207 nt
Filed under: uncultured bacterium
Lineage: Bacteria
Description: partial 16S ribosomal RNA
Rfam family: Bacterial small subunit ribosomal RNA
Source: RNAcentral